AACCCAUGAUGUGGAUAUUGAAGCAAAAAGCCUUUGAAGCGCUCCCAACAUUCAUUGAAAGGUUCUUCAUCAUGUUAUGCAAAGUUGAAGAUUUGCCCUCUUAAAGU
Molecule: small nucleolar RNA, 107 nt
Organism: Pyrus x bretschneideri (Chinese white pear)
Lineage: Eukaryota; Viridiplantae; Streptophyta; Magnoliopsida; Rosales; Rosaceae
Source: RefSeq, a predicted model, not a curated record